CAGUCGCCGCGGUAAUACAGAGGGUGCGAGCGUUAAUCGGAUUUACUGGGCGUAAAGCGUGCGUAGGCGGCUUCUUAAGUCGGAUGUGAAAUCCCUGAGCUUAACUUAGGAAUUGCAUUCGAUACUGGGAAGCUAGAGUAUGGGAGAGGAUGGUAGAAUUCCAGGUGUAGCGGUGAAAUGCGUAGAGAUCUGGAGGAAUACCGAUGGCGAAGGCAGCCAUCUCGCCUAAUACUGACGCUGAGGUACGAAAGCAUGGGGAGCAAACAGGAUUAGAUACCCCUGUAGUCCCUGUCUCUUAUAC
RNAcentral lists this ribosomal RNA (301 nucleotides) under uncultured bacterium. RNAcentral describes it as "partial 16S ribosomal RNA". It matches the Rfam family "Bacterial small subunit ribosomal RNA", at positions 509 to 807 of the family's 1533-position model. The record is from RNAcentral.